This is a long non-coding RNA of Oncorhynchus tshawytscha (Chinook salmon), 1240 nucleotides long. RefSeq lists it as uncharacterized. The record is from RefSeq and is a predicted model, not a curated record. Lineage: Eukaryota; Metazoa; Chordata; Actinopteri; Salmoniformes; Salmonidae. The transcript has 2 exons.
CUAAGUCAGGGUUAUCCAACCACUGUCCAGGGUCGCCUACCCUUGUUUUAGAUCCUCUAAGUCAGGGUUAUCCAACCACUGUCCAGGGUCGCCUACCCUUGUUUUAGAUCCUCUAAGUCAGGGUUAUCCAACCACUGUCCAGGGUCGCCUACCCUUGUUUUAGAUCCUCUAAGUCAGGGUUAUCCAACCACUGUCCAGGGUCGCCUACCCUUGUUUUAGAUCCUCUAAGUCAGGGUUAUCCAACCACUGUCCAGGGUCGCCUACCCUUGUUUUAGAUCCUCUAAGUCAGGGUUAUCCAACCACUGUCCAGGGUCGCCUACCCUUGUUUUAGAUCCUCUAAGUCAGGGUUAUCCAACCACUGUCCAGGGUCGCCUACCCUUGUUUUAGAUCCUCUAAGUCAGGGUUAUCCAACCACUGUCCAGGGUCGCCUACCCUUGUUUUAGAUCCUCUAAGGUCGGGUUAUCCAACCACUGUCCAGGGUCGCCUACCCUUGUUUUAGAUCCUCUAAGUCAGGGUUAUCCAACCACUGUCCAGGGUCGCCUACCCUUGUUUUAGAUCCUCUAAGUCAGGGUUAUCCAACCACUGUCCAGGGUCGCCUACCCUUGUUUUAGAUCCUCUAAGUCAGGGUUAUCCAACCACUGUCCAGGGUCGCCUACCCUUGUUUUAGAUCCUCUAAGUCAGGGUUAUCCAACCACUGUCCAGGGUCGCCUACCCUUGUUUUAGAUCCUCUAAGGUCGGGUUAUCCAACCACUGUCCAGGGUCGCCUACCCUUGUUUUAGAUCCUCUAAGUCAGGGUUAUCCAACCACUGUCCUGAGUGCACGUUUUGUUUGUUUGUUGUCCUAACACUACACAGCUGAUUGAAAUAAUCAACUCAUCGUCAAUCUUUGAUUAUUUUUAAUCAGCUGUGUAGUGCUAGGACAACAAGCCAAAACGUUGUUGCCCAAAGGGCCGAGUUUGUGAAACUCUGCUGUAGAGUUAGCCUGUUUGCCUCAACGUCCAAUUUAAAAGAUUGUAUUUUUUAAAAACGAAGGGAAGAAUGGAGGAGGUGGUGAUUUGGUUGAUGAUUUUGUGGCAGUGGAAAUCUCUCACCCCACGUUAUUUUAUACACACAUUUUUGUCAUCCUUAAUUGAGUAGAUGCCCACUACCCACCAUGCACUGCUUCUGUAACUGUGUAUAACAGUAUGUUCUUAACUGCUAGAGGAUAUCUGUGGAAAUAAAAGUAUGUGAAUAGUAAUCUA